AUUGAACGCUGGCGGCAGGCCUAACACAUGCAAGUCGAGCGGAUGAAGGGAGCUUGCUCCUGGAUUCAGCGGCGGACGGGUGAGUAAUGCCUAGGAAUCUGCCUGGUAGUGGGGGAUAACGUCCGGAAACGAGCGCUAAUACCGCAUACGUCCUGAGGGAGAAAGUGGGGGAUCUUCGGACCUCACGCUAUCAGAUGAGCCUAGGUCGGAUUAGCUAGUUGGUGGGGUAAAGGCCUACCAAGGCGACGAUCCGUAACUGGUCUGAGAGGAUGAUCAGUCACACUGGAACUGAGACACGGUCCAGACUCCUACGGGAGGCAGCAGUGGGGAAUAUUGGACAAUGGGCGAAAGCCUGAUCCAGCCAUGCCGCGUGUGUGAAGAAGGUCUUCGGAUUGUAAAGCACUUUAAGUUGGGAGGAAGGGCAGUAAGUUAAUACCUUGCUGUUUUGACGUUACCAACAGAAUAAGCACCGGCUAACUUCGUA
RNAcentral lists this ribosomal RNA (484 nucleotides) under uncultured bacterium. RNAcentral describes it as "partial 16S ribosomal RNA". It matches the Rfam family "Bacterial small subunit ribosomal RNA", at positions 30 to 507 of the family's 1533-position model. The record is from RNAcentral.